GGGAGACGUUGCUGAGCACCUUUUCAACAGUGUGGUCCUGCUCAGCCUGAGAUCCAGCUGCGCAGAAGAUGUUCUUUCUCAGAUGCUCCAACCUCUGAUCUGGAGAGGAUUCUGGUGCUGGUCAGAAAGGAUGCAGAAAACCCUGUAGCCAGCAUUCCAAGCACACUGAGCUGUGAUGCUCUUUUAUCUCGCUGUUACUGCAAGUUUGAGCCUCUGCAUCCAGAUCUUGUAACUCUCCACCUGUUAGAGCUCACUCCAAAUGCAGGAUGAAACCAUCUCCAUGCAAGGUGAAACAAAGGUCUCUGAAGGACGGAAG
RNAcentral lists this long non-coding RNA (316 nucleotides) under Zonotrichia albicollis (white-throated sparrow). Its description in RNAcentral is "lncRNA (ENSZALG00000004187.1)". Lineage: Eukaryota; Metazoa; Chordata; Aves; Passeriformes; Passerellidae. The record is from RNAcentral.